Molecule: ribosomal RNA, 237 nt
Filed under: uncultured Staphylococcus sp.
Lineage: Bacteria; Bacillati; Bacillota; Bacilli; Caryophanales; Staphylococcaceae
Description: partial 16S ribosomal RNA
Rfam family: Bacterial small subunit ribosomal RNA
Source: RNAcentral
CGGGUGAGUAACACGUGGAUAACCUACCUAUAAGACUGGGAUAACUUCGGGAAACCGGAGCUAAUACCGGAUAAUAUAUUGAACCGCAUGGUUCAAUAGUGAAAGACGGUUUUGCUGUCACUUAUAGAUGGAUCCGCGUCGCAUUAGCUGGUUGGUAAGGUAACAGCUUACCAAGGCAACGAUGCGUAGCCGACCUGAGAGGGUGAUCGGCCACACUGGAACUGAGACACGGUCCAG